Molecule: ribosomal RNA, 301 nt
Filed under: uncultured bacterium
Lineage: Bacteria
Description: partial 16S ribosomal RNA
Rfam family: Bacterial small subunit ribosomal RNA
Source: RNAcentral
CAGUAGCCGCGGUAAUACGAAGGGGGCUAGCGUUGCUCGGAAUUACUGGGCGUAAAGGGCGCGUAGGCGGACAGUUCAGUCGGGGGUGAAAGCCCGGAGCUCAACCUCGGAAUUGCCUUCGAUACUGGCUGUCUUGAGUAUGAGAGAGGUGUGUGGAACUCCGAGUGUAGAGGUGAAAUUCGUAGAUAUUCGGAAGAACACCAGUGGCGAAGGCGACACACUGGCUCAUUACUGACGCUGAGGCUCGAAAGCGUGGGGAGCAAACAGGAUUAGAUACCCCAGUAGUCCCUGUCUCUUAUAC